Molecule: ribosomal RNA, 460 nt
Filed under: uncultured bacterium
Lineage: Bacteria
Description: partial 16S ribosomal RNA
Rfam family: Bacterial small subunit ribosomal RNA
Source: RNAcentral
CCUACGGGGGGCAGCAGUGAGGAAUAUUGGUCAAUGGGCGAGAGCCUGAACCAGCCAAGUCGCGUGAAGGAUGACGGCUCUACGGGUUGUAAACUUCUUUUGUCAGGGAGCAAUUGAGUCCACGUGUGGUCUUAGCGAGAGUACCUGAAGAAAAAGCAUCGGCUAACUCAGUGCCAGCAGCCGCGGUCAUACGGAGGAUGCGAGCGUUAUCCGGAUUGAUUGGGUUAAAAGGAUGCGUAGGCGGAAUAUCAAGUCAGCGGUAAAAAUUCGGGGCUAAACCCCGUCGUGCCGUUGAAACUGAUGUUCUUGAGUGGGCGAGAAGUAUGCGGAAGGCGUGGUGUAGCGGUGAAAUGCAUAGAUAUCACGCAGAACUCCGAUGGCGAAGGCAGCAUACCGGCGCCCAACUGACGCUGAGGCACGAAAGCGUGGGUAUCGAACAGGAUUAGAUACCCCAGUAGUC